GGUUGCGAUCAUACCAGCACUAAUGCACCGGAUCCCAUCAGAACUCCGCAGUUAAGCGUGCUUGGGCGAGAGUAGUACUAGGAUGGGUGACCCCCUGGGAAGUCCUCAUGUUGCAACCC
This 119-nucleotide ribosomal RNA is filed under the name Helianthus annuus (common sunflower). Lineage: Eukaryota; Viridiplantae; Streptophyta; Magnoliopsida; Asterales; Asteraceae. The record is from RNAcentral.